Molecule: ribosomal RNA, 719 nt
Filed under: uncultured Bacteroidales bacterium
Lineage: Bacteria; Pseudomonadati; Bacteroidota; Bacteroidia; Bacteroidales
Description: bacterial SSU rRNA
Rfam family: Bacterial small subunit ribosomal RNA
Source: RNAcentral
AAAAAUUUCAGCUUAACUGGAAUCGUGCCUUUGAUACUGUUGGACUAGAGUAUAAUUGACGUGACUGGAAUGUGAUGUGUAGCGGUGAAAUGCUUAGAUAUGUCGCAGAACGCCAAUCGUGAAGACAGGUCACGAAAUUAUUACUGACGCUCAUGCACGAAAGCGUGGGGAUCAAACAGGAUUAGAUACCCUGGUAGUCCACGCUGUAAACGAUGAUUACUCGUUGUUGGGCAGUGAUGCUCAGUGGCUAAGCGAAAGCGAUAAGUAAUCCACCUGGGGAGUACGAUCGCAAGGUUGAAACUCAAAGGAAUUGACGGGGGCCCGCACAAGCGGAGGAGCAUGUGGUUUAAUUCGAUGAUACGCGAGGAACCUUACCCGGGCUUGAACGUAAGACGAAUAUAUAAGAGAUUAUAUAGCCUUCGGGCGUCUUGCGAGGUGCUGCAUGGUUGUCGUCAGCUCGUGCCGUGAGGUGUUAGGUUAAGUCCUGCAACGAGCGCAACCCUUACACUUAGUUGCCAGCACGUAAUGGUGGGAACUCUAAGUGAACUGCCUACGCAAGUAGAGAGGAAGGUGGGGAUGACGUCAAUUCAGCACGGCCCUUAUGUCCGGGGCUACACACGUGCUACAAUGGUAUGUACAGAGGGCAGCCACCUGGCGACAGGGAGCUAAUCCUCAAAGCAUAUCUCAGUUCGGAUUGGAGUCUGUAACUCGACUCUAUG